AUGAAGGCCCCGGCGCUGGAGGUGCUGCCGGCCGAGAAGCCCGUGCGCGAUAACGAUAAGCGCGAGGGCGUCGCCAACUUGGACACCAUGCUCGCCUUCCCUGAGGACGACGAGCACGACAAGGCAGCGGUGGAGGACGAGGCCAAGGCCAGCGCGCAGGACAAGGUGAGCCGCUAUUCAGUUGGGACAGGGAAGACCACCUUCAUGCACCGUCUGGUGUGUCAUAUGCAAGCAUCGGCGAAUAUGAGGCGUUAUGUGCUCAACCUUGACCCUGCGGUGGUGACACUGCCAUUUGGAGCCAACAUUGAUAUCCGUGAUACUGUGCGUUACAAGGAGGUGAUGAAAGAAAAGGGCAACCUGGUGCAUGUAGCUCCCGCUUGCGCAGGGUCCAGGGAAGGGUCCGACCACUUUGGGUCUAUACUAAUAGAUGUCCAAUAUUCAUCCUUGAAGGUUAUAUCUGUUAUUGAAAAGCUAGCAGACCAACUGGAUUAUGUGCUGAUGGACACCCCAGGGUAG
RNAcentral lists this ribosomal RNA (516 nucleotides) under Triticum aestivum (bread wheat). RNAcentral describes it as "partial small subunit ribosomal RNA". Lineage: Eukaryota; Viridiplantae; Streptophyta; Magnoliopsida; Poales; Poaceae. The record is from RNAcentral.